Molecule: long non-coding RNA, 2423 nt
Organism: Helianthus annuus (common sunflower)
Lineage: Eukaryota; Viridiplantae; Streptophyta; Magnoliopsida; Asterales; Asteraceae
Exons: 2
Source: RefSeq, a predicted model, not a curated record
CCUCUAAAGCACAAAAUAAUUUACACUUCCAAUUAUGCCCCUCCAAAACUUUUAGCAUUUACCCGGAUCCAUCAUCACCGUCCAUUUCCUUUCACUUAUUCACACGGAUCGUGAUCUGACGGGUGAUAUUGUUUUCACACGGAUCCACCUUUCCCCUUCCUUCUCUCUCUUCUCUCUCAUCUGUCUCACAACUCACAUCUCACCAGAUCUCAUCCGCCCCCAACUCCAUGCUUUCUCUCUCCCAGGCGAUUUCCAGAUCUAGGGUUUCAAUAACCCUGAAUCGUUCAUUUUCUCUCAAUCCGACAGAAGAUCCAGUGGGGUUGACCUCAGAUACGGACGUGAGUUGUGAGGGGACGGGAGUUGUGAGAGGACGGGAUGACGGUAGUAGGCAUCACUCAGGAGCACAAUUCUGAAAGCAGAUGUCUAUUGUUAUGUUAAAGAGGCCAAGCAAAAUCUAUCAAGUUACUUCUGCACAUAAAGCGCAAUGAGGGAGGUAACACUUAUCUUUUGAUAUCCGAAAACUUAUCUUUUAUUAUUUAAGAAAGACAAAGUCAUAAAACUAGAUCGUUUAAUGUGGUUAACUAUAUAGUAGUCAAAAGCGCGCUAGAGUCUAGGUGCAAGCCUAGGCUCUCGGGACGAGGCGAGGCACAACUAAAACGCCUCAAACACACUCAAGUGCUAAAAACGCUUUGCACCAGCCUGAGUGGGUCUGAACCAGCCUUGUGGUUUCUUUAUUUGAGUUGAAUCCACUCUAUAGUCAAUCUCCCUUGCCAUAUUUCAUUAAAACCACAAGACAGUUUAAAAAAAUAUAUUAGAUCUUCUAAUAUAUUUGUAAUGAUCAGUAUUUUACCCAUAGUAAAAGAUGGUUCCAGUCAUUGUCAUUGUGCUGACUAUCACAUUGGUAACUGAACCAUUUAUGAUAAGUAGUAUCCGGAAGUAAGAAGAAUUAACUUCAAUAAGUUAUUGAAACCUUUAACAGGCUUUGGGUGUGGGGUUGUUUAUGUAGGUAAGUUGUGUGCUUGGUUUUAAAAAGCGCGCCUCAUGCGCGCUUAAGCGCGAGUCACAACAAGGCUCACACCUUGGGGCUUUUUCGCUCAGCGCCUAGAGUAAUUACAAGAAGCCCAAAAAAGACGCGCUUUUUUGGGAUUUUUCUGGGCUUUUUUGGCCUGGGUCACGCGCCUCUUGUACUCGAGGCGUUUUAUGCAUCUGAAUGUUGUACCUUGGGUUUUUUGGUUUGUACAUGUAGCUAAAAUCAUACAAAAACCUUACUUAUGGCUAUAUUUUGGGUAGGGAAAGCUAAUGACCUAUGGGAUAUAUAAAAAUGUAUAUAAUUAGCUUGCGGCUUGAGUAUGAAAACCCCGCCACUUUUGCGCUUUGCGCUUCGUGUCUCGGUUUUAGACAUUGUCGCUUUUGGGCGCCUCUCGCCUUAUAAAACCAAGGUUGUGUGGUGUUUCAUUGGUAGGUAAAAUGAAUGUAUGAUGCUAUUUUUCUAAAAAAACAGAGUAUGCAUUCCUUUUUUGGUAGUUUUUAAAGUAAAUUUUGAUUUUAUGUAUAUUUUUUCUCAACGUAUGUUGCUAUUAUUGGUAUUUACUUUCAUUGUGUAAAAAUAUGUUGCUAUUUAAAUUUAAAUUGAUCAUUCUUUUCUUGGAAAUUUGUUUUUAAAAAAUUGUCUGUUAGGUGCCCCUCAUGUUCAACACACAUUAACUGUAAUUUGUAGUUCAGUCAUCUUACCUAAAAAGGUAAAAAAAAUAGAAGUCAAAAGCCCUUCCAACUCAUGAGAUCGGGAGGCAACUGACAGAUUUCUGGAUUCGGGCAUAAACACAUGUUUAGAUGUUGCAGGUAAGGUUUAACACAAAUCAUUUUAAACUGCAGACGCCAAGGUACAGUCAUUGGUUUUAAGUGAACAUGGCCUUUUGUUUCCAAGGUACUAUUUUUUCAUGUUCUCAAACAAUUAUGAAUUUAUUAUUGUAUUUUUAUACCUAUUAUUAUAGAUGACCCGGAUUUUACUUUUGACUAACAAAAGAGUUGAUAGGCAAAUCAUUAGAACCAGCAGCCGUGAGCAAUAGCGCCACCACCUUCAAUAAACGAUAUUCGUUUGGAAUAACGGUUGUGAUUCCAUCAUAGCAACCCAGCACCCGAUAAAUGAUAUCAGUUUGUGUUGCUGAUGGAACCUUUGUCCUCUCUCCUGCUGAACCCAGAGAUUAUCACAAACCUAGGCAGCUCAAAACUUGGAAAUGGUGAUCAACCGGUGUUAAUUGAUUAUGAACGUCUCAAAGUAUAGAUACGAUGUUGUGGUUAUGUUUUAUGUUUCUGAAAUGGAGGGUGAAAGAUUAGGUUUAAAAAACUUAUCGAGUUUCCAUUGGCAAUCUCAUGUACUUAAUUUUCCUAUUAAUGAAAUUUGGUUUUUGCUGGUAAAAAAAAAA